This is a long non-coding RNA of Alosa alosa (allis shad), 360 nucleotides long. RefSeq lists it as uncharacterized. Lineage: Eukaryota; Metazoa; Chordata; Actinopteri; Clupeiformes; Clupeidae. The transcript is spliced from 3 exons. The record is from RefSeq and is a predicted model, not a curated record.
UCAACUUUGAAAAUGAAAGUUGAACAAGGAUGUAUAUCAUUGUCCAAAUAGGCGAACGCACAGAACCGUCACCUUAUACCAUUCUCAACUUGGAAAAUGAAAAUUGAAACAAGGAAGUUGGGAGACAGUCCGGUGCCAGACCGAAGGUGGAUGCCGAUGGACGCCUAAUCACGCCAGCACGCCGGCGAAAGAAGUUGUUCUAGCAGUAGUCUACCCGAGAAGCUCAGCAGUGCCAUUCAUAGAAUCACUCAUCUAGCAAUACCAAGAAAGUACUUAAAACUGAGCUGAAGAUGGCAAGCCCAAGUUGGUAAAUCCAAAUACCCCAGCAGGGUGUCAGAAGUCCACACUGAUGUCCACCAA